AAUUACCCACUCCCAGCACGGGGAGGUAGUGACGAAAAAUAACGAUACGGGACUCAUCCGAGGCCCCGUAAUCGGAAUGAGUACAAUUUAAAACUUUUCCCGAGGAUCAAUUGGAGGGUAAGUCUGGUGCCAGCAGCCGCGGUAAUUCCAGCUCCAAUAGCGUAUAUUAAAGUUGUUGCGGUUAAAAAGCUCGUAGUCGAAUCUGUGUCCCGCGCCGCUGGUUCAUCGCUCGCGGUGUUCAACUGGCGUGUCCGCGGGACGUCCUGCCGGUGGGCACUCGCAUCGUUUCGGCGGUGCGUGGCCCUACUCGUAGCCGUCUCGCGCGGUUGCGAAUCCCAUCGCGGUGCUCUUUAUUGAGUGUCGAGGUGGGCCGGCACGUUUACUUUGAACAAAUUAGAGUGCUUAAAGCAGGCCAAUUUUGCCUGAAUAUUGUGUGCAUGGAAUAAUGAAAUAGGACCUCGGUUCUAUUUUGUUGGUUUUCGGAACCCCGAGGUAAUGAUUAAUAGGAACGGAUGGGGGCAUUCGUAUUGCGACGUUAGAGGUGAAAUUCUUGGAUCGUCGCAAGACGGACAGAAGCGAAAGCAUUUGCCAAAAACGCUUUCAUUGAUCAAGAACGAAAGUUAGAGGUUCGAAGGCGAUCAGAUACCGCCCUAGUUCUAACCAUAAACGAUGCCAGCUAGCGAUCCGCCGACGUUCCUCCGAUGACUCGGCGGGCAGCUUCCGGGAAACCAAAGCUUUUGGGUUCCGGGGGAAGUAUGGUUGCAAAGCUGAAACUUAAAGGAAUUGACGGAAGGGCACCACCAGGAGUGGAGCCUGCGGCUUAAUUUGACUCAACACGGGACACCUCACCAGGCCCGGACACCGGAAGGAUUGACAGAUUGAUAGCUCUUUCUUGAUUCGGUGGGUGGUGGUGCAUGGCCGUUCUUAGUUGGUGGA
RNAcentral lists this ribosomal RNA (936 nucleotides) under Atheta gagatina. Its description in RNAcentral is "SSU rRNA". It matches the Rfam family "Eukaryotic small subunit ribosomal RNA", at positions 439 to 1305 of the family's 1831-position model. The record is from RNAcentral. Lineage: Eukaryota; Metazoa; Arthropoda; Insecta; Coleoptera; Staphylinidae.